Molecule: non-coding RNA, 2358 nt
Organism: Nicotiana tabacum (common tobacco)
Lineage: Eukaryota; Viridiplantae; Streptophyta; Magnoliopsida; Solanales; Solanaceae
Source: RefSeq, a predicted model, not a curated record
CGAGGCAAAACUUAUUCAUCACCAACUAACAAUGAUGCAGCAGAAGACUUCAAACUUUUCAUACAAAAAUCAAGAAAAGGAAAAACACAUACUUAGACAUUAAGACAAGAACCAGAAUCAAAAUCCUCUCUGUAAUAUACAGUAUACAACACUUUCCCUCACGUCUCUGUCAUUCCAAUAAAAAUCAGUCAAUCCUCUCUAUCACACACGUGAAACUUCCAGCUACUUCCCCAACUUUCCUUUUGAAAAGACCAAAAGCAAUUUUACAUUGAGUUCAGUUGCAUUAAUUGGUUUGAUGCCAUUAAUUUUAUUGAGUCGCCUUUGUUUCCUUGCAAAAAAGUUAAGUAUCAUUUGAGCUCACAUAACGGUAACUAAUGUCAGUAGCUUGUGGAGCUGAGUGUGUGUUGAUUUUAGGUUGUCUCCGUUGGGCAUGGAAACGCUGCACGUACACCGGCAAUGACGACAGUGAUACGUGGCCAACAGCUACCUACGAGGAAUUCGAACCAGUUCCACGUAUCUGCCGUACAAUUCUAGCAGUAAACGAACCAAACCUCCGUAGCCCCAAGUACCCGCCGGAGGGUGGGUACAGGCUAAACCCCGAUUGGGUCAUUAAACGGGCCACAUAUGAACAAACAUCUGGCAAUGCACCUCCGUAUUUGAUCUACUGUGAUCACGAGCACCAAGAGAUUGUAGUCGCUAUUCGUGGGUUGAAUUUACUGAACGAAAGUGAUUACAAAGUUUUGUUGGAUAAUAGGUUGGGGAAACAGAUGUUUGAUGGAGGGUAUGUACAUCAUGGGUUGUUGAAAUCUGCGGUUUGGGUUUUGAAUAAUGAGUCUGAUACUUUGAAGAAGCUUUGGAUUGAGAAUAGGAAGAGUUACAAGAUGAUAUUUGCAGGGCAUUCUUUGGGUUCUGGUGUGGCGUCGUUGCUGACAAUAAUUGUGGCGAAUCAUAAGGAUAGAUUAGGGGGAAUCCCGAGGAGUCUUUUAAGGUGUUAUGCAGUUGCACCAGCGCGGUGCAUGUCACUCAACUUGGCUGUUAAGUAUGCUGAUAUAAUACACUCUGUGGUAUUGCAGGAUGAUUUCUUGCCAAGAACAGCCACCCCACUUGAAGAUAUAUUUAAAUCCAUCUUCUGUUUACCGUGCUUGAUAUUUUUGGUAUGCUUGAGAGAUACCUUCAUUCCUGAGGGCAGAAAACUCCGAGAUCCAAGAAGACUUUAUGCACCAGGCCGUAUGUAUCACAUUGUAGAAAGAAGAUUCUGCAGGUAAAGCACAUUCAGAUGAGUGUUACUAGUGUGCUAUGUACUGUCAAAGUAAUGCAAACUAGUGAAUAUGAUAUAACCUAGCCUCUGUCGGUGUGACUUUCACAGAACCGCCGACCAUUGCUUGUGGUCAUUGCGUGCUUCGUUUGAUUUGUGUUAUCUUCCCUCAGUUCUGUGCAUGACGAGAUCUCAUUCCUUUCUAAUAUUCUGAUGUCUUGAUUUCCUUGUUUAUGUUUCACAACCCGGCUUAUAAGUCUAUCGAAUUGGUGUUGGGGUCUGAUGCUUGCCACUAUCAACUAGUAUGAGUCAUCCGAAACAUUGUGCUCUUAAGUGGUGUUCGUUCAACUAUCGAUCUUGACAAUAUUCUUUGUCCUCAUCUUGUUAAAUCCACUGAUUAGGAUAUACUAACCCUGACAAAUAGAGGCAUUGUGUUCCGUUAGUUCCCUGAAUUAUUGAAGAUAGUAUAGAACAGUUUCAUAUGAAAUGCAUCGGCAUCUUUAUCUCCUAUUAAAUAGACGAGUGCAGAAUAAAGUUGAACUAAUCUCAGUCCUCAGAUAUUGGUGAAUUAUUCUCACUAGUUGGACAAGAAGCAUUUUAGCCUUAUUGCUUUUGUUUCCCUAGUUUGAGUUAAUCUUAAAAAAUCGUUAUCCUCUUCUGUUGUUUUCCCUAAAUUGCACCAUGAGUUGGUUUAGAGUGGGAGAGAUAAGAACCUUUAGUAGUACGAAUAGAUUCUUGGUUCAUUUCUUUCUCUCAUGUCCAGGAUUUUCAGACUAGCUACCUAACGAAUUUCAUUAUCCGUAUGUUUCCUAUUUGUGUUUUCUGAUGCUACGAUGUAUUUAUUCUCUUCAUGUAACUGUCGGCGCUCGCUUAGGCAUUUACGAUUAUUGUACAGACGAUGCUACAGCACAAUAUUUUCAGAUGAGACCAUGGGGUUUUCCACCAUUUUGGCUCUCAACUUUGCCAUUUUAGGAAAAAAAACGUUUUUUCCAAGGGUCUUCCGGAAACAGCCUCUCUGUCUUCUUGAAGAUGUGGGAGGUACCCUCCAGAUGUUAGAACUGCCAUCCCAGUUGACGGAAGAUUUGAGCAUAUCGUGUUGUCAC